This 397-nucleotide long non-coding RNA is filed under the name Theropithecus gelada (gelada). Its description in RNAcentral is "lncRNA (ENSTGEG00000010237.1)". Lineage: Eukaryota; Metazoa; Chordata; Mammalia; Primates; Cercopithecidae. The record is from RNAcentral.
GGAAAAUGGCGGCCUCCUUGCCGCUUGGGUUACUAGAGUCCACCCAGCCUCGUGCUUUCUUCGGGCGCCCGUAGCUGGCGCCGGCAUCCACAAAAAUAGAUCAGGUGGAUGUGUGUUGAAAGCAGUCUGAAAUGCUGAGGAUCUCUGGAUGGUGGCGCUGAAGAGUGUCUGCCAGCCAGCUGUGAUCACCUGUGUCUGGGCAGGGGUAGCAGAUGUGCCCUGGGAGGCUGCACCAAGCUCUGCUGGGACCUAUGUGGGGAGUGAGGGGCUGAAGAGAUGGAAAGACGUCUGACAUUCUGGAGCCUGGAGCUGAGGCUGGACAGCGCAACCUGCCACUAUCCCAAGAGCCUACUGACCACAGCAGCUCCUGUUACCACAGCUGCCAUUUCUGCUCUCA